GUGCUCACUUUGGCAGUACACAUACUGAAAAUUGUAGUGAUAACAGAGAAGAUUAGCAUGGGCCCUGUUCAAGGGUGACAUACAAAUUCAUGAAGCAGUCCAUAUUUUU
This is a small nuclear RNA of Catagonus wagneri (Chacoan peccary), 109 nucleotides long. Lineage: Eukaryota; Metazoa; Chordata; Mammalia; Artiodactyla; Tayassuidae. The record is from Ensembl.